UGGGGAAUCUUCCGCAAUGGACGAAAGUCUGACGGAGCAACGCCGCGUGUAUGAUGAAGGUCUUCGGAUUGUAAAGUACUGUCAUUGGGGAAGAACGGUUUUCUUGAAAAGAUUGAGAAGACAUGACGGUACCCAAGGAGGAAGCCCCGGCUAACUACGUGCCAGCAGCCGCGGUAAUACGUAGGGGGCAAGCGUUGUCCGGAAUUAUUGGGCGUAAAGGGCGCGUAGGCGGGCCUUUAAGUCCGGUGUGAAAGAUCAGGGCUCAACCCUGAGAGUGCAUCGGAAACUGGAGGCCUUGAGGACAGGAGAGGAAAGUGGAAUUCCACGUGUAGCGGUGAAAUGCGUAGAUAUGUGGAGGAACACCAGUGGCGAAGGCGACUUUCUGGACUGUAACUGACGCUGAGGCGCGAAAGCGUGGGGAGCAAACAGGAUUAGAUACCCUGGUAGUCCACGCCGUAAACGAUGAGUGCUAGGUGUAGAGGGUAUCGACCCCUUCUGUGCCGCAGUUAACACAAUAAGCACUCCCGCCUGGGGAGUACGGCCGCAAGGUUGAAACUCAAAUGAAUUGACGGGGUCAUAGCUGUUUUCCU
RNAcentral lists this ribosomal RNA (590 nucleotides) under uncultured bacterium. Its description in RNAcentral is "partial 16S ribosomal RNA". It matches the Rfam family "Bacterial small subunit ribosomal RNA", at positions 355 to 1375 of the family's 1533-position model. The record is from RNAcentral.